UACGGGGGGGGCAAGCGUUGUUCGGAAUUACUGGGCGUAAAGCGUGCGCAGGCGGUUUUGUAAGUCUGUCGUGAAAUCCCCGGGCUCAACCUGGGAAUUGCGAUGGAGACUGCAAGGCUAGAAUCUGGUAGAGGGGGGUAGAAUUCCACGUGUAGCAGUGAAAUGCGCAGAUAUCAGGAGGAACACCCGUGGCGAAGGCGGCUCUCUGGUACGUGACUGACGCUGAGACGCGAAAGCGUGGGGAGCAAACAGA
This 253-nucleotide ribosomal RNA is filed under the name uncultured bacterium. Its description in RNAcentral is "partial 16S ribosomal RNA". It matches the Rfam family "Bacterial small subunit ribosomal RNA", at positions 524 to 776 of the family's 1533-position model. The record is from RNAcentral.